CGCCGCCAUCCGUCCUGGCGCUCCGGAUGAGUCAAUGAGGGGCAGGGCCCGAGGAGUGGUCUUCCCAAGAACCCCUGGUGGCCUCCCAAGGCCGGUGCUGUGUACCUCCUCCCCGACAAAAGGGGAAACUGAGGCCCCGAGGGGAGUGGGAAGAGCCGGCUGGACGUCAGGCCCAGCCGCUGGUGCAGUGGUCCGUCCCCUCUGCCGGGGUGGGCCCCUCGGGUUUCGCGUGUCCUCGGGAAAGAGACUGGCGGGUGAGCCGCGCCCUCGGCCUUCGCUGGGCUAAGCCGACCCCAUGCAGACGUCAAACCCCCCUAGGUCGGCACAGCCUCUCUGCGGGGAGGCUUAGUGCCCCCUUGAGAAACGGCUUGGCAACGCUGUGCCCGGGGCCUUGCACGCGGGCUGAGGGGGCUAGAGACCUCGCGACUUUUACUCCCCCGACCCCGAUCUCCGACUCCUGACUUUGGAAGCCCCCAAAGCUGCUUUUCGGUUGCCUACAAAGUGUCGGUCAUUGUGCCACGUCCUUGGAACCGUGAACUCAUUUUCUCCUCAAUAACCUUUAAAAAGUAGCUGUAAAACCUCCAUUUUACAGACCAGUUGGCUGAGGUUUAAAUGGAGGACGCUCCCAGGGCCCCAGAGGGGCGAAUUCCAGACUCCUUUGCCAGGACCUUGUACUAAGCCCCUUCCCUACGCUUUUCCCUGCCUAGGCCUCGUGGGCUGUGCGGCUAUCCUGGAGACAGAUGACAGCUCUCCCUUGGAUGGCUUUGCUGGUUCCGCACCAGCCAGCGCCCCCAUUUUUCCUGCAGCACCCUGAUCUGCACUCCCUGAGGGGCUCCCACUGUCCGCGGUGUGAGGAUGUCCCUGGGUAAGUGGUGCUGGUCAUGAGCACUUUGGGGGACCCUUCAAAUUCCCUUCUGGGGGACCCCAGCGGAGGGCAUGGUCAUGAAUUCCGAGAACUGUAUGGCAAAGCCGGGUGCAGAGGAGAGCCUGGCUAAGUUCUUUCAUUCUCCUGAGCUUGACUUUCUGUAAUGUAGGGAAACUGCGAAAGCUCUGUAAGUGGGGAGAUCUUGCACGUUUUUCUUGCUUUUGAACCCAUGAUGUCUGGCUACUUGUAGAUACUCAAUAUUUGUGGGAUGAAUGAACAAUUUAAGCCUUUUUUUUUUUUAACCAGAAAUUGGUCUUCUGUGACUUUCUUGAUGGGGGCAGAUGAGAUCUUUGUACUGCAUUAAGUGGAUAGCGCUCAGGUCCUUUGGGCUUGGCGCUUUGGCAAUCUCCAGGCAGCUCACUUUGGCCUCUGUUCCUGGAUCCCCUUUGCUCUUUUCUGCGCCUGCAUUCGUAAGUGAUCACGGGCUGCCCGUGUCCUGGUCAUUGGUAGUGCAGGCAGAGGAAAUGCGGGAAAGGUUGCUGUGUUUGGAGGGUCCACAUCUUCACCCUCCUGUCCCAGGAGCUUUCCUACACUCCUCCUUCUCAAAGCUGCACACACCUGGGGCCUCCAGGGGAUUGGGGGCUGCCGUGUGUGUUAUAUCAUGAUUAGAGCUUUCACUUCCUGCUCCCUGCUGUUGGGAACCAGGCUGUGUGUGUUGCUUAAAUUCCCCUUGAUGACCAGCAGAGUCACUGCCACUCAGCCAUGGCACACUGCUGUAAACCUGGUUUUGAUCUCCUUUCAAUCUUUUGCUGAUUAACUACACAUUGAUCAGUGUUGGCCACCCUCACCCUGCCAUAGACCAUCCGCUGUCUUCCUCUGUAGAGUUAACUAUUUUCUCUUUUAUGAGGAAAUAGUGUGUUUGCUUAGGAGUGUUUACUGUCUGGUAACUACUGUGCUAAGCCCUUUCCUGUUGCCUGCCAUCCCUGCUGCGAGCAGGGACAAGCUGGGUGCUCACUCAUGGCAUCUUAUCUGUUGCAGAUAGUCCACUGUGUGCAGAGGCAUGGGAGUUGUCAUGUUGGGAACAUGCUAGACCUCAGUAUCCUUGAGGGAUGCUGCCUUGGGUCUGGAAACUGUUAGAGGAAACCCCAAGAGGUGCAGGCACUGAGCCUCUCAGGACAAUGACCUGGGGUCCCAGCUCCCCUGGAGGGGCCUCCUCAUGAUUGUUUGGGGGUUGAUCACAGACCAAGAGUGACGAGUGAUGUCACCCUGUGACUCAUGGCUGGACCUUCUUGCCCCUAUUGUCUCAGCACAACAUUAUUCGACUUUUCCCUCAGCGUGGGUGGGCAGAGGAAAAGCCCUGUGGCUCUGGGGACUUGGGAUCCAGAGUUGAAGACCCUUCAGCUGGCUCUGCCCUGCCAGUGCCACAGAGUGCCAUGGCCCAGGAAGACAGGUUUUCUUCCAUCUAGGCCAGGCCAUCCAGUGGCCAUCCUCCGUGUCCUCCCGCCUCCUCCUGGUGUGACUUCUGAAAACCAAGAAUUUGUUCCUGUUGACUUUUUCUGUGCUAUGGACCAUUGUCCUCUCACCCACUCAAUA
RNAcentral lists this long non-coding RNA (2458 nucleotides) under Homo sapiens (human). RNAcentral's name for it is "small nucleolar RNA host gene 11". The stretch from base 1326 to 1457 matches the Rfam family "Small nucleolar RNA SNORA71". Lineage: Eukaryota; Metazoa; Chordata; Mammalia; Primates; Hominidae. The record is from RNAcentral.